This 1348-nucleotide ribosomal RNA is filed under the name metagenome. RNAcentral's name for it is "bacterial LSU rRNA". It matches the Rfam family "Bacterial large subunit ribosomal RNA", at positions 1564 to 2925 of the family's 2925-position model. The record is from RNAcentral.
UGAGUGCGAGCUGCUACGGCAGCGAAGUAGGUGAUGUCAAGCUUCCAAGAAAAGCCCUAUACCCGUUAAGGCAUGACUGCCUGUACCCGAAACCGACACAGGUGGGGUGGUAGAGAAUACCGAGGGGCGCGAGGUAACUCUCUCUAAGGAACUCGGCAAAAUGGCCCCGUAACUUCGGGAGAAGGGGUGCCACCGCAAGGUGGUCGCAGUGAAGAGGCUCACGCGACUGUUUACCAAAAACACAGGUCUCCGCUAAGUCGCAAGACGAUGUAUGGGGGCUGACGCCUGCCCAGUGCCGGAAGGUUAAGGAAGCUGGUCAGCGUAAGCGAAGCUGGCGACUGAAGCCCCGGUGAACGGCGGCCGUAACAAUAACGGUCCUAAGGUAGCGAAAUUCCUUGUCGGGUAAGUUCCGACCCGCACGAAAGGCGUAACGAUCUGGGCGCUGUCUCGGAGAGAGGCUCGGCGAAAUAGAAUUGUCUGUGAAGAUGCGGACUACGUGCACCCGGACAGAAAGACCCUAUGAAGCUUUACUGUAGCUUGGUAUUGUGCCCGGGCUCGCAAUGCGCAGGAUAGGUGGGAGGCUUUGAUCAUCGGCUUGCGGGUCGAUGUGAGCCACUGGUGAGAUACCACUCUUUGCGAGCUAGGGUUCUAACAGCCACCCGUGAUCCGGGGGCUGGACAGUAUCAGGUGGGCAGUUUGACCGGGGCGGUCGCCUCCUAAAAGGUAACGGAGGCGCGCAAAGGUUCCCUCAGGCUGGUUGGAAAUCAGCCGACGAGUGUAAAGGCAGAAGGGAGCUUGACUGUGAGACCUACAAGUCGAACAGGGACGAAAGUCGGCCUUAGUGAUCCGACGGUUCUGAGUGGAAGGGCCGUCGCUCAACGGAUAAAAGUUACUCUAGGAUAACAGGCUGAUCUCCCCCAAGAGUUCACAUCGACGGGGAGGUUUGGCACCUCGAUGUCGGCUCAUCGCAACCUGGGGCUGAAGUCGGUCCCAAGGGUUGGGCUGUUCGCCCAUUAAAGCGGUACGCGAGCUGGGUUCAGAACGUCGUGAGACAGUUCGGUCCAUAUCCGGUGCAUGCGCAGGAAUAUUGAGAGGAGUUCUCCCUAGUACGAGAGGACCGGGAGGAACGCACCUCUGGUGUACCAGUUAUCGUGCCAACGGUAAACGCUGGGUAGCCAUGUGCGGAGAGGAUAACCGCUGAAAGCAUCUAAGUGGGAAGCCCACCUCAAGAUGAGUAUUCCCAUGGCAUAAGCCAGUAAGGUCACGGGAAGAACACCCGUUGAUAGGCUCUACGUGGAAGCGCAGUAAUGCGUGAAGCGGAGGAGUACUAAUAGACCGAGGGCUUGAC